AGAGUUUGAUCCUUGCUCAGGAUGAACGCUAGCUACAGGCUUAACACAUGCAAGUCGAGGGGCAGCAUGUUGGUUGCUUGCAACCAAUGAUGGCGACCGGCGCACGGGUGAGUAACGCGUAUCCAACCUACCCUUGUCCAUCGGAUAACCCGUCGAAAGGCGGCCUAACACGAUAUGCGGUUCUCAGCAGGCAUCUAACGAGAACGAAAUGUGAAGGAGAAGGAUGGGGAUGCGUCUGAUUAGCUUGUGGCGGGUAACGGCCACAAGGCGACGAUCAGUAGGGGUUCUGAGAGGAAGGUCCCCCANAUUGGAACUGAGACACGGUCCAAACUCCUACGGGAGGCA
Molecule: ribosomal RNA, 345 nt
Filed under: uncultured bacterium
Lineage: Bacteria
Description: bacterial SSU rRNA
Rfam family: Bacterial small subunit ribosomal RNA
Source: RNAcentral